UACGAAGGGUGCAAACGUUGCUCGGAAUCACUGGGCGUAAAGCGCACGUAGGCGGAUUGCUAAGUCAGGGGUGAAAUCCUGGAGCUCAACUCCAGAACUGCCUUUGAUACUGGCGAUCUUGAGUCCGGGAGAGGUGAGUGGAACUCCGAGUGUAGAGGUGAAAUUCGUAGAUAUUCGGAAGAACACCAGUGGCGAAGGCGGCUCACUGGCCCGGUACUGACGCUGAGGUGCGAAAGCGUGGGGAGCAAACAGG
Molecule: ribosomal RNA, 253 nt
Filed under: uncultured bacterium
Lineage: Bacteria
Description: partial 16S ribosomal RNA
Rfam family: Bacterial small subunit ribosomal RNA
Source: RNAcentral